AUGAGGAAAGCUUGCUUUCCUUGAUGACGACUGGCGCACGGGUGAGUAACGCGUAUCCAACCUUCCCAUAACUACGGGAUAACCCGUUGAAAGACGGCCUAAUACCGUAUGAUAUCGUUUGCUGACAUCAAAUAACGAUUAAAGGUUUAGCGGUUAUGGAUGGGGAUGCGUCUGAUUAGCUUGUUGGCGGGGUAACGGCCCACCAAGGCWACGAUCAGUAGGGGUUCUGAGAGGAAGGUCCCCCACAUUGGAACUGAGACACGGUCCAAACUCCUACGGGAGGCAGCAGUGAGGAAUAUUGGUCAAUGGGCGAGAGCCUGAACCAGCCAAGUAGCGUGCAGGACGACGGCCCUAUGGGUUGUAAACUGCUUUUAUGUGGGGAUAAAGUGCGUGACGUGUCAUGCAUUGCAGGUACCRCAUGAAUAAGGACCGGCUAAUUCCGUGCCAGCAGCCGCGGUAAUACGGAAGGUCCGGGYGUUAUCCGGAUUUAUUGGGUUUAAAGGGAGCGUAGGCUGYCUAUUAAGCGUGUUGUGAAAUUUACCGGCUCAACCGGUGGCUUGCAGCGCGAACUGGUCGACUUGAGUAUGCAGGAAGUAGGCGGAAUUCAUGGUGUAGCGGUGAAAUGCUUAGAUAUCAUGACGAACUCCGAUUGCGCAGGCAGCUUACUGUAGCAUAACUGACGCUGAUGCUCGAAAGUGCGGGUAUCAAACAGGAUUAGAUACCCUGGUAGUCCGCACGGUAAACGAUG
Molecule: ribosomal RNA, 748 nt
Filed under: uncultured bacterium
Lineage: Bacteria
Description: bacterial SSU rRNA
Rfam family: Bacterial small subunit ribosomal RNA
Source: RNAcentral